This 220-nucleotide long non-coding RNA is filed under the name Capsella rubella. RNAcentral describes it as "long non-coding RNA (CRUB_LNC002742)". The record is from RNAcentral. Lineage: Eukaryota; Viridiplantae; Streptophyta; Magnoliopsida; Brassicales; Brassicaceae.
UCGGAGUCUGCACGCUUGUGGUUGUGUUUGGUCUAGAAGACGCUACUACAAGGGUUGCACAUGGCAUUUUUUUUUUUAUGCUAAUGUUUUUGGUCUUUCUGCCUAAGUUAUUCUCGCAAUCUCUAACCAUUAUUCUUUACCAAAAAAAAAAAAAAAAAAUUCUCUAACCAUUAGUAAUUUAGUAUGUAAUGUAUCACCGUAAAUUAAAUGCAAAAAAAAA